This 442-nucleotide long non-coding RNA is filed under the name Linum usitatissimum (flax). RNAcentral's name for it is "long non-coding RNA (LUSI_LNC001582)". The record is from RNAcentral. Lineage: Eukaryota; Viridiplantae; Streptophyta; Magnoliopsida; Malpighiales; Linaceae.
AAUCAAAGUAAGUAAGAUGGUUCUGUUUUUGUUUUUUUGACUUGUGAUACUUACUAGAUCAUGUAUGUAUUGAAAUGUGGUCUGCAAGAAACAAAGUGAAUCAAUCUCAUUACAUCAGGAAACAACAAAUUAGGAAGGAAGAGGAAAAGAUGCUUUUAGUUUGACUAGAUUGAAUGGUCCUGCGGAAUAUAAAUUUGAUUAUUAUUAUUAGAUAUUACGCACUUGUAUUUUUGUAAUAGUUGCGGAUUAACUCUUUUUUUUUGUCAUUUCGUUAAGUGCUUUCUAAUAAAAUUCAAUAACCUAAUCAGAAGCCAGACCGAUACUUAAACCAAACAAAUAUUAAAUUGUGGCAUACAUACUAAAUAGGAUAAUCAACUCCACCCGUCCUCGUUUCUACUAAAUCUAAAGGUUGUUGCAAAUAGAAGUAAUUCUUGGCUGGAAG